AUAGUGUUCCUUGAUCUCAACCCUUUCUGUGUACCAAUCCAUGUUGCUUUCCCAGGUGUUUGGUCAUCUGGGAAAGGGCCCUUUCAAAGCGAAUCAUUGAAUCAGCUGUCUGAGUUGGCCCAGUGCCUUAUUAUUUAAAUAAGUUAAAACUUUCAACAACGGAUCUCUUGGCUCUCGCAUCGAUGAAGAACGCAGCGAAAUGCGAUAAGUAAUGUGAAUUGCAGAAUUCAGUGAAUCAUCGAAUCUUUGAACGCACAUUGCGCCCCUUGGUAUUCCUUGGGGCAUGCCUGUUCGAGCGUCACUGCAAACCCACUCAUAAAUAUUAUGGUAUUGAUGGAAGUGAACUGAACCAAUCAUUGUGCUCAGGUCAUCCCAUCGAAAUGCAUAGGCAAGACAAUCAACCUCUGCAAAUGGACUUAGUAACAGUCUUGAAGACAUAAACCAGUUCUUUGCUUGGUUCUGACUUGGCCUCCAUGGACCUCCAUCCAAGAUAAUAAUUAACUUUGGGUUGACCUCGGAUCAGGUAGGGAUACCCGCUGAACUUAAGCAUAUCAAUAAGCGGAGGA
Molecule: small RNA, 566 nt
Filed under: Tuber sp. 4 KA-2010
Lineage: Eukaryota; Fungi; Ascomycota; Pezizomycetes; Pezizales; Tuberaceae
Description: eukaryotic LSU rRNA
Rfam family: 5.8S ribosomal RNA (bases 148-301)
Source: RNAcentral